Molecule: ribosomal RNA, 467 nt
Filed under: uncultured bacterium
Lineage: Bacteria
Description: partial 16S ribosomal RNA
Rfam family: Bacterial small subunit ribosomal RNA
Source: RNAcentral
GAUGAACGCUGGCGGCGUGCUUAACACAUGCAAGUCGAACGGAAAGGCCCAAGCUUGCUUGGGUACUCGAGUGGCGAACGGGUGAGUAACACGUGGGUGAUCUGCCCUGCACUUCGGGAUAAGCCUGGGAAACUGGGUCUAAUACCGGAUAGGACCACAUUUUGGAUGGUGUGGUGGAAAGUUUUUCGGUGUGGGAUGAGCUCGCGGCCUAUCAGCUUGUUGGUGGGGUAAUGGCCUACCAAGGCGUCGACGGGUAGCCGGCCUGAGAGGGUGUACGGCCACAUUGGGACUGAGAUACGGCCCAGACUCCUACGGGAGGCUGCAGUGGGGAAUAUUGCACAAUGGGCGCAAGCCUGAUGCAGCGACGCCGCGUGGGGGAUGACAGCCUUCGGGUUGUAAACUCCUUUCGCUAGGGACGAGGCGUUUUUGUGACGGUACCUGGAGAAGAAGCACCGACUGACUACGUG